AGCCAGUUUUUAGUUUCUUUCUUCUUCAGGGAUAGAGAAGAGGUUAGUCUUUGUUACCAACAACUCCACUAAGUCCAGGAAACAGUAUGGGAAAAAGUUUGAAGCACUUGGUCUUAAUGUCAGUGAGGAAGAAAUUUUUGCGUCAUCUUUUGUUGCUGCAGCAUAUUUGAAGUCCAUUGGCUUCCCGAAAGAUAAAAAGGAUCUGCAAAGACACUAGUGAGUACUAAACAUAGGACUGGAGGUGGCACUGGCAGUGGAAACAACAAGGUAAUUGCUUACACUCAGUUGUUAUUUUUUUAUUUUUUAUUUUAUUUGUUAUGUUUUUAGUCAUUAGUUUUGUAUUUGGGAAUCUGAAAAGUUCAUAAAUUUUGGAUUUUUUUUACUACCUUAUGGGGUGAAUUAGGCUGUCUUGAAAUUGUAUUUGUCAUCCCUAUAGCGAUUACGCGAGUAAACAAAAUUUGGUAAGAAAAUGUGGUCAUUCUAAAUAAACAUAGCUUGUCUCUGAUUAUUAUUUUUUUUUAUUUUUUAAGGUUUCUCAUAAACUUAGCUGAACCAGUGUAUUAGGCCUGAUUGCAAGAGGAUGAUUGUUAUCCUUGGUUCUCUUAAUGUGAGGAUUUUUUUUUAUUUUUUAUUUUUAUAAUUUAUAAUUUUUUAUUUCUGACUACAUUUUCUUAGCAAUCAAAUGAGGAAAUUAUUUAGCUUCCUAAGGCAAAGACUUGUGCUCUAACUCGAUUUUUAUUGGUUUGAGCAGUGAGACCCACCACUUCUGAGACUGCCACCAAUGCUCUAAGACCACCAAAUAGCCUCUCAAUCCAAUAGACAAGGCUGACAUAUUAGAGGCCUUUUUUGUGAGUUCUCAAUGGAUUAUGGUUGUCUUUAUUAGUGCAUAUUUACUAUCGUUUUGGAGUUUUCUAUCUUUCACUGCCCUUUUGUGUGGGUGUGGAGACAAGUAUUUUGUAACAUUUGUGAACGGUUCAAGUUUCUUAUUCAGGAUGCUAAAACCUUCAUUUAAUGAACAACAAAUGUGUUGGCGUGAAGAGAAGAAUAAAAUCUUGUCACUCUAGGCAUGAGCGACUUGUGAGAGAAGACGAGACUCGAAUCGGGUUCCCGGUUUGAGGGUUAGAGCCAGAUUUCACUCUAGGAAAACUAGUUCCUGAAGAACCUUAGAAUUUGAAAUGUUGAUGUCCCAAAAUCACCAAACGGCAUCGGAUUAGCACGAAAAUUGGCACACACAACCGCCUAGGCACAAGAGACUUGUGGGAGAAGACGGGACUUGAAUUGGGUUCCCGGUUUGGGAGUUGGAGCC
Camellia sinensis is the source of this 1306-nucleotide non-coding RNA. The record is from RefSeq and is a predicted model, not a curated record. Lineage: Eukaryota; Viridiplantae; Streptophyta; Magnoliopsida; Ericales; Theaceae.